Podarcis lilfordi (Lilford's wall lizard) is the source of this 72-nucleotide non-coding RNA. The record is from the annotation of a GenBank genome assembly. Lineage: Eukaryota; Metazoa; Chordata; Lepidosauria; Squamata; Lacertidae.
AGGGCUGCGGCUUAAUGGCAGAGCCUUUGCCUUGUGAGCGGAAGGUCCCGGGUUCAAUCCUCGAUGGCCUCU